This is an RNA transcript of Juglans regia (Persian walnut), 2087 nucleotides long. It is a transcript of the gene named probable gamma-secretase subunit PEN-2, with no coding region annotated. The transcript has 3 exons. The record is from RefSeq and is a predicted model, not a curated record. NCBI's taxonomy places the organism in Eukaryota, Viridiplantae, Streptophyta, Magnoliopsida, Fagales, Juglandaceae.
CCAAAUCCCACGUAGCGACCGUGUGUGGAACGGGACUUGUGUGUAUCGUGGAACGCACAAAAUGAUCAUUUUGUGGCGCCCCCAACAUCUCCGAUCCUCCGUACCUUUGGAAUUCUCGGUGGUCAUGGAGACUAGCUCACAGACCCAAACCACCGAUCUCGGUCCCGACCCCAUCCCCAACAAUCCAAACAACCGGAACCCUAUACCUAACCGGAGCUCAACAAUGUCGGGCUCUUCUCCUGUCUGGCCCACCAUUGACGGUCCGCUGGGCCUGUUGGAGGAAGACUCGGUCAGCUAUGUGAGGAGAUUCUAUAAGUUUGGAUUCGCGAUGCUGCCCUGGCUUUGGGCACUCAAUUGCUUUUCCUUCUGGCCCGUUCUCCUCCACACUCGCUCCUUUCCCCGCAUCCACCACUGAACUAUACUUUUGGUGAGCCAACCUUAGAUGAAGGAAAUGACUCGUAUGGUUUGAUCUAUUUGGUGAAAUGCGGUUUGCCCAUCGGGGAUUUGAUGUGUUUGGUGCUUGUUGGGGACCGACCUAUAGUUGAAGUGGAUCAAACUUUUGGUUUCAGUAAUGGCGUGAAGUUGAAAUUCUAUAAUUUGUUAGUUCAGGAAAAUACUUCCAAGGAGGGUGUAGAAUUAAGAUUUCACUCCUACAAUUAUUUAUUUAUUGGGGACCUCAAAGGUGCCAGCUGCAUUGUAACACUGAGUCCCGAAAGGUGAUGAUAAUCAUUACGUAUGUUCCUCUAAAUCUGCGUCUCCCCACCCCCACAAAAAAAAAAAAAAAAUGAAAACUAAAUAGUAAUCCCCUCUAGUGCAUCAAUAUGAUUUUGAAACUAUAUAUCAACAGUAAGAGUCUUUGACAGUAAUACCUUGUCUCAGCCAUACCUAUCUUCUUGUGUUUUGGACUAGUGAUGAAUUGCUUUUAUCCAUUAAGGUGGUUAAGUUAUUGCACUUUGGCAAAAAAGAGAUUUUCUAUCAUUAUUUGAUGAAUAGAAAGAUUCCAUUUACUGUCAAUGCUCAUUCACAUUCAUUUAGUUGGGUUUAGAUUAGAUGUCAUGUUGUUAAACCUUUCACCACAGCACAAGUGACCAUCCUCUUACAUAGAAAUUGUAAUUGAGCUCAUUUUGGCAAAGAUAGGACUGAUCAUUCUAUGUGUAGGGUUUUGCAUCAAACAUUAAAGGAAAUGGAAUUCCCCACAACUCAUUACUUAGCUCUGGCUUGUUUUAUUCUACAUUAGAGCAUCUUGUCCUUUAUCCUAUUGCAAGCAUAAGCUAAUCCAUAGGAAAGCCGAAUUCAGAAAAGCCUUUUUUUUGCGAGCAUGUGUUUUCACUCGAAUUUUAAAUGCUGUGCAUGGUUAAAUGUUGUGCCCAUUAUCUUCGUGGUUUAACUGUUUUAAGUAUCCAUUGCUUGAGGCGACUAGCCUUGGAGUAUGUGUUUCUCAGAUGGUUGAUUCAGAGUGUUUUUCUGUCCCCCUUCUAUUGGAUCAUUUCUUAAGCAUGCGCAUCUACUGAACUUCAAUAUAGUUUAUGCAUUCUUUUUUCCUGUGGGACACGUAUGUCCAUUACCCGCAUCCAUCUAACUGAAAUAUACCUUUCGGCUUUCACAACACAUUCCAAGCAACUCAAUUAUACAAAAACUGCCAAGGUCCUUUAGACCAGAUGACUUAAGGCCUGGUCUCCAAAUGAGAGAAUCAGAUGUUGUCAGAUCAAAAAUUGGGUUUGCUGUAUUCACAGCUAUUCUUUCGUCAUGGGCCCUUACUUUUGCAAUUGGAGGGGAGCGUCUCUUCCGACCUGUUUGGGAUCAACUUGUAAUGUACAUUCUCGCUGAGAGAUUAGGCUUGACUGGUUGGAGCUAGUCCUAUGCCCUCUUCUCGUGAAUUUCAUCGGUUACACACUUUGCAUUAGCCUUUUUUUCACCUUUUUGUUGGGUAUUACAAUAUACAGGUGUUCCUGAUCUGCUCUAUUUUGAACACAUGAUUCAUGUAGAUAUGUUCUGAUUGAGGCUUUCUAGAACCUUUUUGUUAUGUAAGUUGAUAUUGAAGCCUUGCUUUACCGCAAGUAAUGGCCUUAUAACUGCACUAUCGUAUU